Molecule: ribosomal RNA, 230 nt
Filed under: uncultured bacterium
Lineage: Bacteria
Description: partial 16S ribosomal RNA
Rfam family: Bacterial small subunit ribosomal RNA
Source: RNAcentral
AACUCUGUGCCAGCAGCCGCGGUAAUACAGAGGUGGCUAAGCGUUGUUCGGAAUUAUUCCGCGUAAAGCGCGCGCAGGCGGGAUUGUAAGUCAGAUGUGAAAGCCCUCGGCUCAACCGGGGAAGUGCGUUCGAAACUGCAGUCUUGAGUGUCGGAGAGGGUGGCGGAAUUCCCGGUGUAGCGGUGAAAUUCGUAGAUAUCGGGAGGAACACCAGAGGCGAAAGCGAUUCU